RNAcentral lists this ribosomal RNA (516 nucleotides) under Triticum aestivum (bread wheat). RNAcentral's name for it is "partial small subunit ribosomal RNA". The record is from RNAcentral. Lineage: Eukaryota; Viridiplantae; Streptophyta; Magnoliopsida; Poales; Poaceae.
AUGUGCUGCCAAGGACACUUAAUAAUCUCGAGUGAAGUUGGAAGCCAUUGGAUCUUUUUCGAACUGCAACUAGCAGGACAUCAACUCCAAAAUUAUCAAAGAGUGCAGAGGAGGAGCAGCAACAACAACACGGGCACGGGAGAAGCAGGCGACAGGGGAGAAUCACGGGAGACAGCAGAGCUCCACCAGCAGGAGCUCGAGGAGAAGCAGCAGUGGGAGCUCGGGAAGAAGCAGCAACCGGAGCUCAAGGAGAAGCAACAGGGGGAGCUCGAGGACGCGCGGGAGAGCAGUUCUGGGCGGAAGCGCGGAUCUUGGCGGCGGCGCAUGUAUGGGCGGCGGCGGCAGAGCAGUUGGGCGGCAACGCAAGUCUGGGCGACGGGAGGGGAUCGAGGCGGCGGAGGCGACGCCCCUAGGAACCGCGGCUGGAGGGGACCGCAGCUGGCCGGCGCCGGCCCCUCUCGGACGAUGAGCGGAGGAAGAAGACGGGGCGGAGGGGUCUGUUUGAGACAAUUUUGA